This 450-nucleotide ribosomal RNA is filed under the name uncultured bacterium. RNAcentral describes it as "partial 16S ribosomal RNA". It matches the Rfam family "Bacterial small subunit ribosomal RNA", at positions 354 to 796 of the family's 1533-position model. The record is from RNAcentral.
GUGGGGAAUAUUGGACAAUGGGCGAAAGCCUGAUCCAGCCAUGCCGCGUGUGUGAAGAAGGUCUUCGGAUUGUAAAGCACUUUAAGUUGGGAGGAAGGGUAGUAACCUAAUACGUUGCUACUUUGACGUUACCGACAGAAUAAGCACCGGCUAACUUCGUGCCAGCAGCCGCGGUAAUACGAAGGGUGCAAGCGUUAAGCGGAAUUACUGGGCGUAAAGCGCGCGUAGGUGGUUCAGUAAGUUGGAAGUGAAAUCCCCGGGCUCAACCUGGGAACUGCUUUCAAAACUGCUGAGCUAGAGUACGGUAGAGGGUGGUGGAAUUUCCUGUGUAGCGGUGAAAUGCGUAGAUAUAGGAAGGAACACCAGUGGCGAAGGCGACCACCUGGACUGAUACUGACACUGAGGUGCGAAAGCGUGGGGAGCAAACAGGAUUAGAUACCCGUGUAGUCC